GGAGAUUUAGCUCAAUGGUAGAGCACUUGCCUAGGAAGCGCAAGGCCCUGGGUUCGGUCCCCAGCUCCG
Rattus norvegicus (Norway rat) is the source of this 69-nucleotide non-coding RNA. The record is from Rfam. Lineage: Eukaryota; Metazoa; Chordata; Mammalia; Rodentia; Muridae.